AUUUCUUUGUGGUACGAAUAUGUUUUGUCUGUGAAAAUGUGAGUCGUAAAGAGAUAAAUGAAAGUCUCAAGCAUAGUGGAUGUGCCAAGGCAAAACACGUGCUUAAGGAUGAAAUGGCGUGCCUUAGUUCAACGUUUUGUUCAAUUUGUUGACAGCAAAUAGUUCUGCAGCAUGUCUUGGAAAGAAUGCACCAAUUUCAACUGUCACUUCAGCAUGCGUUGUUCCUAUCAGAAUGUUAUUGUCUAGCAGUUCAUCCGCCAUCCUUGUUGCCCUGAAAAGGAUAGUGAAAUAGGCGUCAUUCUUACCAAGGACUUGGAAUUUAAUGCAUAAUGCAAGACUUGAAAAUGCCAAAGUAAAGCCUGAAGCCACCGAUUGAUGUUCCUAAUGUUCCACUUGUAUCCGAAGAUGCUUUACAAGCUGCAUCAAUUCCGCUAACGGAUGCCACUAUGGACAAGAUAUUCAUCCCUCGCUCACAAUGGAUACUUAAAAGAAGAAUCUGAAGCUGGUUUCUUCUAGUCUUUGCUCCUGAAGCUAGCAAACUUUCCAAAUUUGGGAUUGAUUACUGGCAAAUUUCCAACCUUAUAAAACUUGGAUCAGCAAUGCCUUGUAAAUAAGCCUAAAUGGAAUACUGGCUUGCCAUGGGUGAUAUAUUUUUCAUUUAAAUUAGCUUUGUUUAGUUAUUUUGAAAGUCUUUGGAGCAAGUUCACAAUCCUUCGCGCUGAUAGUUCAAAAUAUUGUCACAAAGUUCCAAAGAAUAACAAGUCACAAGUAGCACUAUCAAAUUUAUUAAUCUAUAAACAAGUCGUAACGUGCAAGCGAAGAACCGACUCCAUUGCUCGUGGAACUCGGAAUUUUUACUUUUACAGAAUAAUCCAGAAUUAUAAAGAAGGUUGUAGAAAGUUCUAGAAUAUUAGCAAAUGAUUAACAAAUUCAAAAUUCAGUCUUUAAUGUAAUGCUACUUGACUGGAAUUCGAACCCCCGAUCUUGUGCUUUGCAAGCGCGUACCUUACCUCUGAACCGCGCUGACUAUGAACAUAUUUUCCUUUUGCGAUAAUAUUAAGAAUUGCAGAGUUGUCACGUUGAAACUCUGCAAGCAUGCACGUCCCCAUAAAAUCAAUUUACGAUCUAGAAUCUGAUACUGAUCACAAACGAACUGCUUUUGUAUCAAAGCAUUUUAAUGAAAUCUAGUAAUUCAAGUCACAAAAUUGGAUUUGUAAAGUCAAGUUUUUUUAUUUCAAAGCUCAAGCCGAACAUAAGUCCGAUAUAAAAUACAAAAAAAAAAAAUAAUAAAAGGCAAAAAUUCUUAAUCUAAUUUUGAAUGGUGAAUUAUGCGAAUACUGCUGGGAAAGUUUGUAGAACUCUUCAAGCAUUGCGUAGUCAUACAAUAUACAUUUUGAUCAGAGCAAUUGAACACCAGUUUUGUAUGUGAUAGUAUAUUGCUGUCUGCAUUUCAAAUGCAUGUCGAUUGCACUUCUGUUAUGAAUCUUUAUGCCUCAGGCAAGAAAUCAACGAGUAUCGUAGUUCAUGCAUCCUAUUCCACAAAUAACCUCCUACGCAAGUAGUAUUAAAAUGAAUACGAAAUCUUGUGUUUUGUAAUCCAAUUUAAAUGAGCUGAAAUUGUGAUGGAAAUCUUUGUAGGUUACUGAUACAAUAACAAUGGGUUUCAGUGAAAGCGGUUAUUGGUUAAGCAAUACCGGCAAGUCGUUCUUCAAGCAUGAAUAUUUAGUGAACAGAGUUCCGCGUGCGGGUAUAAUAAAUUGUAUAUUGAGUAUUAAUAAAUUCUAUUAACUUCAAACACGAAGCGCAUUUCUUUAAUAGUUAGGAAAUGCACUGAAGUCAACACACAUGAGUAUUCUCGAGAACCCCAUGCAGGCAUUUUUUCAAAGUUUCCGAAACCCUGCAUAUGAUUCAAUUGCGCGCUAGGGUAAACUAAAUUAAAUGUUUCAGUUCUAACAUAAGUUAAUUUCGGUGCAUAUAGAAUAAUUAAAUUAAUGGAAAGUUCAAUUACGAAUAUUUUAGAAUCGGAUUUUUCCAAUGCUGAAAGUGUGAAGCUUAACUUUAUAAAUAUGAAGUUCAUUCUAGGCAUAUAGGGCAGGAUUAAAUCCAUCGAGUCUUGGUACCAACCGGGGUAAUUUACAGGAACAAUGGGAACGCAAUAGAUAAUAAGUAAAGAAUCUGUUAUUGUCAAGUAAAAUAAAAUUCAAACAUUCAAUUCGAAUAGAAAUACUUGAUUAAUAUUUUACAUAACUAACAUCUAACCAAUUUAUUUCUAUGCAUAGUUUCACCUUAUCUAAAAAUAGGGUUGCGCGUUUUUAGCACUAAAAUCC
Long non-coding RNA from Argiope bruennichi, 2327 nucleotides. RefSeq lists it as uncharacterized. Lineage: Eukaryota; Metazoa; Arthropoda; Arachnida; Araneae; Araneidae. The transcript has 3 exons. The record is from RefSeq and is a predicted model, not a curated record.